Molecule: long non-coding RNA, 1149 nt
Organism: Saccoglossus kowalevskii
Lineage: Eukaryota; Metazoa; Hemichordata; Enteropneusta; Harrimaniidae
Source: RefSeq, a predicted model, not a curated record
GUCACAUGUGAAAAAAGAGUGUUGGUGAUAUUGUGAGUUGUUGUGGACUUGAUUUGUUUUUUUGUCGCCUUGAUAGCAUACUUGAUAAAAAAAAAUAUUGAUAAUAUUACACGGUGGUUGAAUGGAAUAACUUAAGAUAAGCGUAAACUCAAAACAGUCGACAGGAGAUCUCUUGUUUGUCGAUCGAUGAGUCACGACGUGUGAUACUCGGUGUACUCGAACGCUGAUCAAUAUCCCGCUUGACAAUGCCUGUUCGUAAUUGGUGGGUAGCUGCCGGGAUGGUGACUUUAAUUAGUGCCGCACUGUUACCUGUAGUAGUGCAGCCUUGGUUGAAUCCAAAGACUUGGCAAGAUGUACAAAAAGAAUCCAGAAAGGGAAUAAAACAAGAAGAGAUUCAACCUGGAGGUAUGCGAGUGUGGUCAGAUCCAUUUGAACCACGGAAGUAACAGGUCAAAGUUCAUCUAUGAUUGUGAUGCUGACACAUGUAUCAAGAAUUUCUAAACUCUUGUUGCAUAGAACUUGGUUGUACAUUUGUCAUGUAAACAAUGCAUGCAUGCUGGGUUCUUAUUAAAACUUAAGAUCUAAACUUUCUAUUUUUUAUUUUAUUUAAAGGGCGGUUGUCGUCGCGCUGCACAUGUGCGACAUUUGUGUUGAUAAACAUUGAUUUUCCCACAAUCCAAUGCGCUCUUCUAAUUGAAAUCACAAGUAUGAUGUUUGACCUGGGUGUGACUUGGUACUAAUUAUCGCCGUUGACUCUUUCGAUACCUUCCAAUCACCUGAAAAUACCUAAUUGAAGCUUGGUAACGUUUCUGUUUGUACUCGUUGAUCUAUGCAACAGUCAAAGUCGCCAUCUUUGUUUAUACAUGUAUAAGACCCAUAUAUCUCGUGCAUGCGUGGCGCGACAACUACCGCCCUUUAAAUUUACUAAGAACAAUUCCAACUUGGCUAAAUCACGAAAUGUUUACAUUCUACAUAAUUCAAAUUUACUGGUUUUUAUGUAAAAGUGUGUUGUUUACAAUCUCCAUAUGAAUACAAAUGAGUCCAGUAUGGUAUUACACACUGUUAGUUAUGUCACCCAUAGUUUCAUCUAACACCACCUUGAAAGAAUUCCCGCUGUAAACCAGUAUUCACUGUUGACAAAAUCAAACA